CCUACGGGUGGCAGCAGUGGGGAAUAUUGCACAAUGGGGGAAACCCUGAUGCAGCGACGCCGCGUGAGGGAAGAAGGAACUCGUGAUGUAAAGCUCUAUCAGCAGGGAAGAAAAUGACGGUACCUGAGCAAGAAGCCCCGGCUAACUACGUGCCAGCAGCCGCGGUAAUACGGAGGGGGCAAGCGUUAUCCGGAUUUACUGGGGGUAAAGGGGGCGUAGACGGCAUUGCAAGUCUGGAGGGAAAGGCGGGGGCUCAACCCCCGGACUGCUCUGGAAACUGUACGGCUGGAGUGAAGGAGAGGUAAGUGGAAUUCCUGGUGUAGCGGUGAAAUGCGUAGAUAUUAGGAGGAACACCAGUGGCGAAGGCAGCUUACUGGACUGUAACUGACGUUGAGGCUCGAAAGCGUGGGGAGCAAACAGGAUUAGAUACCCCAGUAGUC
RNAcentral lists this ribosomal RNA (440 nucleotides) under uncultured bacterium. RNAcentral describes it as "partial 16S ribosomal RNA". It matches the Rfam family "Bacterial small subunit ribosomal RNA", at positions 338 to 795 of the family's 1533-position model. The record is from RNAcentral.